GUGGAUUAGAUACCCCAGUAGUCCUAGCUGUAAACGAUGUGAACUUGGCGUCGGUGGUGUAAAAACCAUCGGUGCCGAAGCCAACGCGAUAAGUUCACCGCCUGGGGACUACGGCCGCAAGGUUAAAACUCAAAGGAAUUGACGGGACCCCGCACAAGCAGCGGAGCGUGUGGUUUAAUUCGAUGUUACACGAAGAACCUUACCCAGGUUUGACAUGUAGGUGGUAGGGAAGCGAAAGCAGACCGACCCUUCGGGGAGCCUACACAGGUGUUGCACGGCCGUCGACAGCU
RNAcentral lists this ribosomal RNA (290 nucleotides) under uncultured bacterium. RNAcentral describes it as "partial 16S ribosomal RNA". It matches the Rfam family "Bacterial small subunit ribosomal RNA", at positions 773 to 1060 of the family's 1533-position model. The record is from RNAcentral.